RNA transcript from Poecile atricapillus (Black-capped chickadee), 3012 nucleotides. It is a transcript of the gene named F-box and leucine rich repeat protein 5, with no coding region annotated. The transcript is spliced from 12 exons. Lineage: Eukaryota; Metazoa; Chordata; Aves; Passeriformes; Paridae. The record is from RefSeq and is a predicted model, not a curated record.
CGGUCACGCGGGGCGGGCGCACGCGCGGUGCGGAUGCUCGCGCCGCCGUUCGCGCCGCCGGGAGCGGCGCGGCUCCAUGGGGAGAACAUGGCUCCCUUCCCCGAGGAGGUGGACGUGUUCUCCGCCCCGCACUGGCGAAUGAAGCAGCUCGUGGGGCUCUACUGCGACAAGCUUUCCAAGACCAACUUCUCCAACAACAAUGAUUUUCGGGCACUGCUGCAAUCUCUUUAUGCCACGUUCAAGGAAUUUAAAAUGCACGAGCAGAUUGAAAAUGAGUGCAUCAUUGGUUUGCUUCAGCAGCGUAGCCGGACAGUGUACAAUGUGCACUCGGACAACAAGCUCUCAGAGAUGCUUAGCCUUUUUGAGAAAGGGCUAAAGAAUGUAAAGAAUGAAUAUGAACAGCUAAACUAUGCGAAACAGCUGAAGGAGAGAUUGGAAGCCUUUACCAGGGAUUUCCUUCCUCAUAUGAAGGAGGAGGAGGAGGUUUUUCAGCCAAUGUUGAUGGAAUACUUUACUUAUGAAGAGCUGAAAGAUAUUAAGAAGAAAGUAAUUGCACAGCACUGCUCACAGAAAGAGGCUGCAGAAUUCAGAGGUCUCAGUAAGUGGAAUCAGGCAGAAGAGCUUCAGAAGGUCUUUAAGUACUCUGUGGAUGAGAAGGCAGAUCAAGAAACCGAAGUAACAGGGCACACCACAAAUAUUACUAAUCUCCCUCCUGAAGUAAUGGUGACCAUUUUCAGUUACCUUAACCCCCAAGAGUUAUGUCAGUGUAGUCAAGUAAGCACUGAAUGGUCACAAUUGGCUAAAACUGGAUCUCUGUGGAAACAUCUUUACCCUGUUCGCUGGGCAAGAGGUGAUUGGUAUAGUGGUCCUGCGGCAGAUACUGAGACCGAACCUGAUGAGGAAUGGGUGAAAAACAGAAAAGAUGAAAGUCGUGCUUUCCAGGAAUGGGAUGAAGAUGCUGACAUAGAUGAAUCUGAAGAAGCAGCUGAAGAUUCACUUGCCAUUAAUAUAGCACAAAUGGAAAAACGUUUACUUCAUGGCCUAAUUCAUCAUGUCCUCCCACUUGUAGGCUCCUCAGUGAAGACACUGGUAUUGGCCUACAGUUCUGCAGUGUCCAGCAAAAUGGUUAGGCAGAUCUUAGAGCUUUGCCCCAACUUGGAAUAUUUGGAUCUCACUCAAACUGAUAUUUCAGACUCUGUAUUUGAAAGUUGGUGUUCAGUUGGGUAUUGUCAAAAUCUACGCCACCUUGAUCUGUCUGGAUGUGAAAAAAUUACAGAUGUGGCUAUAGAGAGGAUUUCCAGAGCACUGGGUAUCAUAUCAACUCACCACACCAGAGGUAUUCUGAAAAGCUGCAGGAACAGGAACCCUAAGACUUUGUGGAAAAACAGAGAGAUUACUCUGCAGUCCAACCAGAAAUAUAAUGGUUUGCAUGAAAUCAGCAAUGAAAAUCUCAUUCAGGGAGGAAAUGGUGAGCAGCACUGGACUAAACCUGACGGCUCAGAAAACUUCAAUUCUGCUUAUGUGUGGAUGCUAGAUGCAGAUGAUUUAGCUGACAUUGAAGAUGCUGCAGAGUGGAGACACAGAAAUGUUGAAGGAUUUUGUCUUAUGGAACCAACAUCCCAUAUUAAUUGUUCUGCAUUGUGCUACGGUAGAGACAUUUAUGGGUUAAGGACUAGAGGGUGGCAGCAGCACUGUGCUUCUACUGACUUGAUUUACUGCGGUCACUCAUUUUGUUGUGCUGGGACAGCACUAAGAACUAUUCAAGCACUUCCAGAGUCCUCUGCACUGUGUAAGAAACCAAUAAGGACUAAGCAGUCAGAGAAAAAAGACUCUGCAUACUCUGGGAGUGAAAAAACAGACGAAGAGACGGCACGAGUUCUUCAGUUUCUCAGUCUGUCAGGCUGUUACCAGAUAACAGACCGUGCUCUCAGGGCGUUGACUCUGGGAGGAGGACUGCCGCAUUUGGAACACCUGAACCUCUCGGGGUGUCUCACUGUAACUGGUGCAGGCCUGCAGGAGUUGGUUUCUGCAUGCCCCUCUCUAAAAGAUGAACACUUUUACUACUGUGACAACAUUAACGCAGCAGCCAAAAAAGCCACCAAUAUUACCAUCGUCAGGGUGGUGAAAACAAGAUAGAGGGUGCUGUGCAUGGUCCUGGAAGCCUUGGGGCACUCAUGUGGAGCACUGCAUGCGGGUUUGGUCUCCCCAUCCUGAGGAGAGUGUACACUGGAGUUACUGAAGAUACAGAAGAGGCCUUCUAAAAAGUUAGGGACCUGAACACUCAAAAGGCUGGAUGUUUCAGUGAGAUGGCUGAAAAGAGGGGCAUGACUGUUUACAGACCUGGGAAAGCAGUAGAUGAGGUCCUCAUGCUGAAACCGCCAGUGGAUGCCAGAAUUUGCAGUGUGGUUUUCGGGCCUGCUGCCGCUCUGGCGAAUGACCGCUGACUUCUGAUCUUUCGGUCUACUUCAUUUAGCUGAGCAGGCUUCCUCUCAUGCACUUUACUUACAGUUCGCAUCUUGUGUUAACAGUCCUUGGAGUGAGACUUGUUAUACUAGCCUGACCCUGCCCACAACUUCAGAAUCUUAAUUAUGAGUGUACUGUACAGUGUUGUAACAAUCUCACAACCUCAUUUGGCUUGAAGGGUGUUGGGUUUUAUUUUACAUAAUUUGGGGAAGAUGGGAAACUCUUCAGUUUUUUCUUUUUAAUGCCACUUUAUUCCAAUUUUGGCACUUAAGUAUACUUUACUGCAUUAUUUUGUGUUAGGUGACUUCCUUUUUAUAAUUUUGAGUCCGUAAGUACAGUAUAAACCUCCGCAGAGAAUUUGAAUUUUAUUGUUUGCAUUUGGGUAAUAAUUACACAUCUUUAGGAGCCUGGUUUCUUCCCCUUUCCUCUCAUCCUGAAGUCGUUCUUUACAUUGCAAAAUUAGGGAAAUUGCCACCUUCCUUUUGCAUUUGGUUUUGUAUUUGGGCUUGAAAGACAUACUCAAAUAAAACAUUCCCACCAAUAAAAAAA